RNAcentral lists this long non-coding RNA (4171 nucleotides) under Brassica napus (rape). Its description in RNAcentral is "long non-coding RNA (BNAP_LNC008171)". Lineage: Eukaryota; Viridiplantae; Streptophyta; Magnoliopsida; Brassicales; Brassicaceae. The record is from RNAcentral.
GUGCCUUGUAGAGGAAGAGGAAGAAUCAGGAGUGAAACAUGAGAAUGAGGAAGAAGAGGUGGGUUCAGGGACAAAGAGAGGUAGAGCAGCAGCAGAAGUUUCAGUUUGAGACUGAAUCUGAUCAAAGAAAAAGCUAGACAUCUUAGUUGCAGAACCUUGUUCUUCUGACUCAUUCUGCUGCUGACUUCUCCAUUGCUUCAGUUGUAAGUCCAUGGAAGAGAGAGAGAGAGAGACAGAGAAAUGUGUUGGUUGCUUUUGGGAUAAUUUUUUUCCCCACUUCUUUGUGUCUUAGAGAGAGUGGCUUAAUAAGCAAAGACAACCACAACAAAAGGCUUAUGUGUUUGGCUUGUGACCCCAACAAAAAGUAGAGUUUUUUCUCUUUGUUCUUUGCAGGUAGUUUGCUAGAGCAAGCUAGAGAAAGAUGAAAAGAGUUUUUAUUAAGGAACUUGAUAGAGAGAAAAAGACUAUGAGACAAGACAGUUGAGAGGGGAAAUAAAAUUUAGAGUAAAGAGUGUGAUUUUCUAUAAUAUCUGAAUGUGUGUUUUCAAUUAAAAACGGUUUCUUUUUUUACUAUAAAAUUUAGUAAAUCAGAAAACACAAAAAGAAAGCACUGCAAGAUGCUUGCAGAUGGAGAGAUAGUAGUACCUGCAGUGUUUAUGUUUCUCACUGCCUUGGAAAUAUCACUUCCUUUUAUAUCCCAUUUUAAUAUUCCAUAUUAAGUAGUAGCUUAAAGAGAAAAGAGAAGCCUAUUAUUUAAGAUAUUGUAAUUAAAGAUCCAUUCAAUGUGAUGUAACGUAACCUUCAAUUUAUGCACAUGUCAUUUGUUUCAGAGGUUGUGUUACAAAUGUAUUAGAUUCUGUCAUUGAUUCUGAACAUAAUCACUUUGGAUUUGACUAACUAACUCCACGGUCAACUGAUGUGCAGUGUAUGCACUGUAGACUGCAUUUGGAGAAAGCUGCAAUAUAUUUUGAUCUCUGGGUUCUAUAAUACUAGAUGUGAGUUGACUAACCAUUUUCUUUUACAACAAACUACUACAUAUAUAAGUAUUACUAUUUUAGCAUUUUUACUUGUCUAAUAAUGUUUAUCUUUCUUUUUUCUUGCAUGCAAUAUGUAGAUUUGAAUUUUAUUUUAGUGAUACAUACCACUAAACUACACAUCAACAGUAACUAUGUAUAGUUUUGGCUAAUAAGCUAUUUGCUUACUCUAAUUUGUAACCGUCGUUACUUUAUUAUUAUUCAUUAAAAAUCAUCUGUAACGUCUAUGCUUUUGGAAGUUUUUUCAUCUACUCUUUUUUAUAUGGUAAAAGUGAAACUGAAUAUUAGUAUUGUGUGGUUUCUUUUUGAAGGUGUGGUGGAUUGGUGGCGACUGGUUUGGUCUUUAAUUUCGUCUUUCCAAAAGAAGUUGGACUUGUUUUACAGGUUACAAUUUUCGUUUAGAAGACCAUUUACGAGUUAAAAUGUAAUUAGCAGUGAUUGUUUAUGGAUUUGGAACGAUUAUAAUAGAUGCAUAUAUUUCUGAUAUUAUAAAGAUAAAUUAAUACCAGAAAAGGCCAAGUAAACUGAGAAAAUUUUAUUUAAAUGAAGUAAGAUACAUGCAUUUAUAUCUUCACUUCACUGAAUAAAUACAAAAAACAUUCAUUAAUUUCAAAGUAUCUUUAUUUGGUGGUGCCAUGAUAGUAUUAUUUUAUAGUUUUGAGGCAAUAAAGUAAUAAAUAUGAGCAAAGGACGAUAACGAUAUUUCAUCAUCUAGGAGUGAGCCAGCCAAAGAUGAGAGAGAUCUUCGUAAGAGUUUCUUCAAUUCAUUCACUCCCACCAGUUUCGGCGGCAUUUAUAUGCACUAUUCCUAAAUAACCUAAACUCGGUCCAUGGAUUACGUUCGAUAUUACAUAGUUUUUUUUUUUGAACUGAUUCUUAAUAUUACAUAGUUGAGUACUUUCUUUGUGUGUAUAUGUGGAGUCAUCAUAUAUCUUUGAUAAAAUAUGGAAUCACGUGCACUACUAACUCCUCUUGGCACUUGUUCUGUCUUCACUAUAAGGAACAACAGACCAAAAAGCAUAUUGGAUAUGAAAUUUGAAACAAAAGUGUGAAAGCUUGGUGAAAACAAACAAAUCAUAGAAUAGUUUUAUAUUAUGAUGACCCAUUAAUGCAAACUACUAGACUACAUUCUUAUUUCAAGUAAAUAUUUUAUAUAUGUCUGAAUGGAUUCAGAUUUGUUGUUGUCUUUCUUUAGAGGACCAAAACUGAAAGAAGGAAGGAACAUAGACGAAUAAUGACAGUUCCAGAAAUACCUAGAGAUUGAGAAAAUUUGAGUGGACGAAGGUUGGGUCACGUGCUAAAAUUAAGACCAGAUGAGAUGAAAAGAGGGCUCGGCCCAAAACUAAUCCACCUACUUUAUUUGAAAAUCAAGCCGAGCUUGAAAACGAAAUCAGCUUUAGGAGGAGCCCUAGUUUCCGACGAGGGCGCAGACAUUGGGUCCCAUUGUAUAAUGUGAGAGACCAAAUCACCAAUUAUGUGUUGCUUUUUGUAAUUUACUUUUCUACCCACGAAAGCUACCCUCUAUUUACGCAAUUUGCCUACUAUUUACGUUUGUUUACGAUGGGCCGGGCUAUGUGUUGUUCAUGAGAUCCUGCUGGUAGAUUUUUUUCCAUAAUGGUAAGUGUGAACGAACCGCCCCGCCCCACUCUGUACCGUUGCGACUAAUAACAAAAAUCUCUACAUAUACCUAUAUAUCUAUAUAUUUUUAUUAGUAUUAUAACCACACCGCACUUGUCCCACAGUUAUCCCUGCAUUGGAGGCUAAGUCUUUUUUUUUUUUUAUUUUCACAAAAAUGAUGAUAAGUCUCUCUGUCACCCAAUUGCCAACAUUACCCCUUUCCUCACACCAUCAGUUCACAGUGGAAUAACUAUGCCCAUAUCCUAAACAACAAGAUUUUUCAUAAUUUCAACAUAUUUAUCAUUGUAUUAAAACCUUUGUCAUUAGUAUUCAGUUAUUAUGCAAAACACUUGUCUUAACUCUCAAGACUCUUGACCAAAAAGAAUAAUGGCUUCAGUUAAACUGAGUGUUUUUUUUUGUGUACCUUUGAUGACUAUUAAGGUGGAGAUGUGGAGAUGAAUGAUGUGAAGAGCCAGAGGAGAAGAAGAGAUUGUUUGGUCCAUGACCAAGCUCCUCGCCUAAGACGAAGGAAGAUGCUGCGUUUGUGGCAGCGUUUGUGGUGGCGGUUUUGGCGGUUGUUUCCACAGGCUUUCUUGAACGGUUUCGACCACGGUGGAUGUGGCGGUCGCAAUACUUGUGACCGCCUACAACAUCUCUCGAACAUCUCCAUUUCUUCCCGUCCGUUCUCUUGCACCUCCCUGGCUCAGGAUCCAUUGCUCCUCUCCCCCAAUACCCUGUGUGUUCAUUAGUAAAACAUGUUGUUACUAACAACCAACAAAAAAUCUCACUUAAGGCAGGGAUUAAGAAUGUUUCAUAAACCCCAACUUGUUUUGUUCUUCUACGUUGCUCAUAGAUCUUCUAGAAAGGUUUAAAGUCCAGGAUUGCAAAGUAGCCUUUUAAAGAUAAAAUGUAUUUACUUUAUUAUUUAGUGAGUCUAUGAAUUGGAAGUUUUAUAGAUCUUGAAAGAUUUUUCUUUCUAAAAUUAAAAGUAUAAGCAAGACAUAGAUUGAGAGAGGCUCACAAGAAGCUUGGUGAUGAGGGAAGUUAUGUUGCAGAGGAUGCUGAAGGAAGUUCAAAGGAGACUGAUGGAAGAGACUUUUCUUGAUGGGCAAGAGGAGCUCUUGAGGAACAGAAGCACCAGCUAGCAUGUAUCUGUAGAUCAGUGCUUGUAGCUCAAGUUCUUGCCACUGUGCCAAGCUAAAGAAGUUUCCCAUCUCUACAAAUUUAACAUACAACAAAUCAGUCACAACUUCAAGAUUUAAGUGAAGAAGUCUUUGCCCUUUACAAAAAAAAAAAAGGAAACACUUACUGAGGUGCCUUGUAGAGGAAGAGGAAGAAUCAGGAGUGAAACAUGAGAAUGAGGAAGAAGAGGUGGGUUCAGGGACAAAGAGAGGUAGAGCAGCAGCAGAAGUUUCAGUUUGAGACUGAAUCUGAUCAAAGAAAAAGCUAGACAUCUUAGUUGCAGAACCUUGUUCUUCUGACUCAUUCUGCUGCUGACUUCUCCAUUGCUUCAGUUGUAA